AGAAGGCUAUUGCAAUGCCUUUUUAUUCUUAAAGAGGAAGUAGAUGUGAAGGUGUCCCAGGAUUAUGAAUCUGGAAGAGUUUGAAAUAGGUUUAUUGUCAUUUGACUGAUACCCUUAUGUAUUAUUAUGGUUAAAUAAUGUCUUGGUUAUUCUCUUUGUUUCCUUCACCUUCACAGCAAUUAUUGACUUCUUUCUUAAAAGCAGGAGGCUGAUGCCUACAGACUACAUUCCCUGGAUGCCCCUUCUGGAAUGCUGGACGUUUGAGGAGCGAGGAAGGAGAGAGAGAGAAUCCAACCUGAUAUCUUUGCUUGUAACUGAAUCUCCAAAGGACUGUAGCUCCUGCAGGGUGAUCUCUCUCCAAGAUCAAGCUCUCAGUGUGCUCUGUGUUUCUCCUCUUGUCCCUUCAAGCCCAGGAGUGGGUAACUGAUUGUUGUUGCUAGUUUCUUGAUGCCUCUAAAUCAUUUAUAUGUUUCCUUAACUCUCCCUUAACUUUGUAAUGAUUUUUUGUAUUAAAUUCUCUUUAUUUAAACCAUCUAAUUCAAUUUGAAUAUUGCCUAAUACAAAUAAAUCUCAAGCAGAUUAAAAUUUUUAUUUUCUAUAUUUAAUGACAUAAAGAAGGGACUUUCUCAGCAAUAUUUAGUGACAGGUCAUAACCAUCAUUCUUGCAUUAAUUCUUAAUUAAAUCUGAGUUCCUUAUGCAUCUGUGUAAAUAUAGAAUCUGCUCUCAGAAACUCAAUUGCACGCUUACUAAGCAUUACUUACUUACUCACUCAGGAUCUUUUGUUUCAGCCCAGGUAGCUUAGUUCAUUUUAUCCUUUCUCUUUUUUAUGUAUUUUUUGGUUUUAAGAUUCUAUUUUUGGUUCACUUUUGGGCCAGAUAUUUCCCCCAUUUUUUCCUGUCACCAAUAGCAGCUCUUUCUCAAAUGGACUGGAGAAAUACAUUCUGUAUUAUAUAUCUAUAUACAUCAUUAGAUUACUCCUUGUUAAUCUACAAGGUUUUGUGGUUAUUAUUUUAUUAGGUUUUCAUUUUUAUUUAUUUGCAUAUAAACGCUUUAGAAUUUUCCACACAAGAUCUGUGGACCCCAAAGAGGCUGAAUAUUACUUCUGAUAAUGUUAUGUUUGUGUUUUAAUUUUUGAACAUUUUGUAUUUUUAUGUUUGCACAGGCACAUUCCAGAUCAUUUGAAUAAGCCAGUUAUAGCCAGGCACUGCCACAGAUUUCAGCACUUACUUCAUUGUUGCAUGAGUACAAUAACCCUAAGGACAUAAUUCCUAAUUUUAUGUUUGUGUGUAAUAAAAUAACAUCAUAGAAACAUUUAAUCAAUGUUGAAGGUCCAUGAGAAAUGGCAUUUUCAAUGUUCUGUACAAUUUUAAGUGUCUUGGGAAGGAUAAUGCCCUCAAAGUUUCUAGUUAAUAUCCAAUAAGGCUCUGCAUAAUAAAUAAAUGAAGUAUUGAACAUGUACACAAGUGAAUGACGUGUUUUUAUAUUGCUUUUUAG
Molecule: long non-coding RNA, 1495 nt
Filed under: Homo sapiens (human)
Lineage: Eukaryota; Metazoa; Chordata; Mammalia; Primates; Hominidae
Description: HSALNT0112577
Source: RNAcentral